This is a long non-coding RNA of Daphnia pulex (common water flea), 892 nucleotides long. RefSeq lists it as uncharacterized. The transcript has 5 exons. The record is from RefSeq and is a predicted model, not a curated record. Lineage: Eukaryota; Metazoa; Arthropoda; Branchiopoda; Diplostraca; Daphniidae.
AUACCUGUUGUGAUCUCCUGAAAUGAUUAAUUGUUGAUGUUUCUUCUUACAUUGUUUUCUGGCUGUUUGCCAGGACUAGAAAGCUGUAACUGGUGAACUGACUGGUUCACUGGAAUUUCAGAUACUCAUGUCAAAAAAGAAACACAUCAAAACUUCUUCAUCCCAAACUCCCAUUGACCAAACAUUAACCGCAAGGUUUUGUUUACGAGUUUACGUUUACUUUACAACUUAUUAUUUGCUAAAUUUAUUUUAAAAUAGUUAUUGGAAAAAAUGUUCCUGCCGUUCCGUCCAGACUCCAGACGUCUGAAUGCUAAGGAAUAUGUCGGAUAUCACUAGGUGGCUAAAAUUAUGUCUGCUAGAUGGCGCGAGUGUCUUCGUUACUCAAAACGAAAUUCCGCCAUUUUAUAACACUGAUUGACUGAUUGACACUGAUUGAAAACGUAUCGUUGGAUUGGAUACUUAAUACGCCGUACUUUUCUUUCUUGAAAUUUUUAUUCGUAAAAAUGGUAUUUAUCUGGUAGUAACAGCCUAUAAUUUCUACAUGGCAAAAUCGGGUGGCCUGAGCAGCUGAACAUUUUGCCAAAAUGUCGUCUCUUUUUUUCUGUACCAGCUCCACGUUUGUCAGAAACACUUCAGAACAAUUCGGGAUUAACACCCUGGUGGAGUUUGAGCUUCUUUGUUGCUGCCCAACUUUCACAUGGAUUUGACGCAGCCAGCUGAGGGCUUUAAUUCUUGUUUAGCGUUUAUGUUCGCGCAGUUGCUUUCCGAUGUGGCACGUUGCUGCAGCCUAUACUGGUGAAAGAUCUUUCUACAUCAAGUUCAAUUGGCCGUUCCUUGGUGCUGGUGUCGUGUUACCGAAGUUGCAUCAUUAUUUUGUUAAAUUGUCAUCGUU